UGCCUAAUACAUGCAAGUCGAACGGUAAGGCCCUUUCGGGGGUACACGAGUGGCGAACGGGUGAGUAACACGUGGGUGAUCUGCCCUGCACUUUGGGAUAAGCCUGGGAAACUGGGUCUAAUACCGAAUACACCUCGCUGGCUGCAUGGUUGGUGGGGGAAAGCUUUUGCGGUGUGGGAUGGGCCCGCGGCCUAUCAGCUUGUUGGUGGGGUGAUGGCCUACCAAGGCGACGACGGGUAGCCGGCCUGAGAGGGUGUCCGGCCACACUGGGACUGAGAUACGGCCCAGACUCCUACGGGAGGCAGCAGUGGGGAAUAUUGCACAAUGGGCGCAAGCCUGAUGCAGCGACGCCGCGUGAGGGAUGACGGCCUUCGGGUUGUAAACCUCUUUCAAUAGGGACGAAGCGCAAGUGACGGUACCUAUAGAAGAAGCACCGGCCAACUACGUGCCAGCAGCCGCGGUAAUACGUAGGGUGCGAGCGUUGUCCGGAAUUACUGGGCGUAAAGAGCUCGUAGGUGGUUUGUCGCGUUGUUCGUGAAAACCGGGGGCUUAACCCUCGGCGUGCGGGCGAUACGGGCAGACUGGAGUACUGCAGGGGAGACUGGAAUUCCUGGUGUAGCGGUGGAAUGCGCAGAUAUCAGGAGGAACACCGGUGGCGAAGGCGGGUCUCUGGGCAGUAACUGACGCUGAGGAGCGAAAGCGUGGGGAGCGAACAGGAUUAGAUACCCUGGUAGUCCACGCCGUAAACGGUGGGUACUAGGUGUGGGUUUCCUUCCUUGGGAUCCGUGCCGUAGCUAACGCAUUAAGUACCCCGCCUGGGGAGUACGGCCGCAAGGCUAAAACUCAAAGGAAUUGACGGGGGCCCGCACAAGCGGCGGAGCAUGUGGAUUAAUUCGAUGCAACGCGAAGAACCUUACCUGGGUUUGACAUACACUGGAAAGCCAUGGAGACAUGGCCUCCGCAAGGCCGGUGUACAGGUGGUGCAUGGCUGUCGUCAGCUCGUGUCGUGAGAUGUUGGGUUAAGUCCCGCAACGAGCGCAACCCUUGUCUCAUGUUGCCAGCGGGUUAUGCCGGGGACUCAUGAGAGGCUGCCGGGGUCAACUCGGAGGAAGGUGGGGACGACGUCAAGUCAUCAUGCCCCUUAUGUCCAGGGCUUCACACAUGCUACAAUGGCCGGUACAGAGGGCUGCUAAGCCGUGAGGUGGAGCGAAUCCCACAAAGCCGGUCUCAGUUCGGAUCGGGGUCUGCAACUCGACCCCGUGAAGUCGGAGUCGCUAGUAAUCGCAGAUCAGCAACGCUGCGGUGAAUACGUUCCCGGGCCUUGCACACACCGCCCGUCACA
This 1342-nucleotide ribosomal RNA is filed under the name uncultured bacterium. RNAcentral describes it as "bacterial SSU rRNA". It matches the Rfam family "Bacterial small subunit ribosomal RNA", at positions 45 to 1401 of the family's 1533-position model. The record is from RNAcentral.